This is a long non-coding RNA of Chenopodium quinoa (quinoa), 2111 nucleotides long. RefSeq lists it as uncharacterized. The transcript has 4 exons. Lineage: Eukaryota; Viridiplantae; Streptophyta; Magnoliopsida; Caryophyllales; Amaranthaceae. The record is from RefSeq and is a predicted model, not a curated record.
AUUAAGUUUUUUAACCCAAGGGACUAUCUUUUUAACUCAAACCAAUUCAUUAUUGGCCGGAAAGUACACAUGAGAUCCCAAACGGUGAAAUCUUGACAUAAUUUAUAAAUUUUUGAAUUAUAUUUAAUAAAUAAAACAUAACAUUGUUGUUUCAACAAAAAAAAUGUCAUCUUGGGUCUAAUUUGGUUCAUCUCAAUGCCUACUUUAUUAUUUCUACCAUUAAAAAAUAAAAAUUUGACAUUAACUACCAUUAAAAUGACCACGUUUGACAUUUGAUAGUUGUUUAAUUUUUUAUUUCAUCAACCUACCGCCCAAAUCCCAAAAUUAUAGUUAUUGCGACCACUUAACUGAAUCUGUUAGGGUUCUGUUAAGUGGGGCCAUUAUUUCAUUAAAUAAUAAUUUAAUUUAUUAAAAAAAAGAAAAAAAAAACUUAUCUACAACCCUUAAAAUGUUUCACCUUGUUCCCUUAUGAAUAGUAGCAACAUGUGCCAAUUGCAUGUGUAAGCUGAUGUGGCAAGGGUGUGGUAAACUACCUCAAAACUCCUUUCCUGCACCUCGAUUGUAUCACUUAGCAUGCGUUUUUGCAAACAAUGGAAUCUUGACCUUGGCUUUUUUCUUCAAUAUUUUACUUUCCUAAAAUAUUUAUCUCUUCUCUCUCUUCUUCCUCCCUGUUCACUUUCACUACAACCAUCAACAAUGAGCCUAAUUGGGUUAUCAGAACCCUAAUUUUUUAAUUUCUCUCUUCUUUUUCUUAAUGGAUUCCAUUGUUGUAGCACCUUCUGGGCUUUCUCAUCUCCAUCAAGUUCAGCUUCUAAUCUAAGAAUUUUUUUUUAAGCUAUGGCUAAUCAAUUUAGUUGUGACCACCGAUCAAGAGCUGGUUUACUUAAUGGUGCCACAGUCAACAGCACCGGUAGAGACCAGCGAAUGAGCGGCUGGGUCGUUCUUCAAUUUUCGAUGGUUCGCAAUGUGAGAUUCUUGAAGAAGGGCGAGAUGCUCAGAGGGUCGGUCCUGGUUCUCCUGUUUACCUACUCUUUCUGUUGUUCUUGAGUAUCUCACUGCUAAGAACAUCCAUGGUUUAAAGAAGACAAUGAUCUGAUAGUUCUGAGAAACUUAUUGACAGCGCUAUUCUUAUGAGAAUGAAGCAGUUCAGAGCUAUGAACAAACUGAAGAAGCUCGCUCUCAUGAGGUUGUAGAUAUGAGGAGAAGAAAAGCAAGGGAUAAUAAAUGCUCUUUAUCAAGUAGCUUUUAAUUUAAGGGACAUAUGGCUGUUAGGGAAGAGCUCUUUCGGCGUCACAUUGCUACUGAUCAUUUGUGUCCUUGCUGCAGCCUGGUGGGGGAGUACGUGAAUCGUGUCCUUUUCGAAUGCACAAAGGCUAAAGAGGUAUGUGCGAGUAGUAUCUUUCAAGUCUGAUUGAUGAAGCUCCUGUAGGUUCUUUUAUGGAUAAUUUGUUUUGGUUUAACAGCAAAUUAGAGAAACAGGAAUUGCGUAUAUUGCUUGCUCUGGCCUGGUCUAAUUGGUAUUGCAGGAACAAAUUUUUUUCAUGAGCAACAGUCCCUAAAUGUUGUCUACACAGCAGCGAGUUUUGCUAAACUUAUGUCUAAUUAUUGCUCCUACGCUAAGCGAGUCUUUGUGAAGAAUGGUGCCCCUGCUGCCCCUAUGGUCAGCUCUUGGACGAAGCCUCCUGCUGGGGUUACCAAGAUCAAUAUUGAUGCCUAUAUUACUGGGUCGUUUGCUUCGGUUGGCGCUAUGUCUCAAAAUGAACAUGGUGGUUUAGUGUGGGCUACUGUCAGACGGCUGGAAGGAGAAUGGAUGUGGAAAGUGCUGAAGCUGCUGCUGUUAUAUUCGGUUUACAGCAAGCUAGUAGAUGGGGUAGCAGGAACAACAGCUUGGGUUUCUCUCCUCUAUGGCUAAUUUAUGAUGAUAUUAGAGCUAUGUCUAAUUGGUUUGAUUUUUGUUACUUUUCACAUGUCAAGUGAGUAGGCAAUGUGGUGGCUCAUCUCGUUGCAAGGUGGGACACCCGUGGUAGUACGGAAACUCCUUUCUUUAAAGCUUAAUUACUUGGCGGAAAGCGAUAUUUAAUAAAUAGCCUGCUAAUCUUGCUUCAAAAAAA